This is a small nucleolar RNA of Pongo abelii (Sumatran orangutan), 100 nucleotides long. The record is from Ensembl. Lineage: Eukaryota; Metazoa; Chordata; Mammalia; Primates; Hominidae.
AACCUGUAUAUGAUGAUCCUUUUGAUGUGUUCAUGCACGCGUGUGUGAGGUGAGCCAGCCUUGAACCUUGUUAUGACAUUGGCACAUUACCCAUCUGACA